AGAGAUACAAAUUACUAUAAAAAUGUUUGGCGGAUAACGUUUGCAAACAAGGAUUUUCGAAUAUUUAAGACAUUUGGCGACGUUUUACUUAUCUCAAAUAUCUGUCAUGGAUAAAUAAAGUUAUUUAAAUCAAUUUGACAUCAAAGUUAUCUCGAUACCUGUAAAAUAUCGGCGUUUGUGUUCAUUUGAAAAUCGUUCGUGCAAGAAUCGAAUUUGCCUCAUAGUUGUCAAGACAAGAUAAUGCACAGCUCGCUUUCCAAGUUUAGAGGCAGUUAUGAUCUAGAAUAUGUUUCAAUGCUUAAAUUUGUGAUAAUAUUAUCACUACACCUUGCUACAGCAUUUGGAUAUGGUAUUCAUCAGUACGUAUGGUUGUUAUUGUCAUAACAUGCAGGGGCGGAUCUAGGUUCAUAUCAUAAUGAAAUGUGACCAGGUGCAAAACAGAAAAAACUGGACUUUCACUAAUAGAGCUUCAAGCUGUAGUAAUCUGUUAAAUAAUGUUUUUUAUAAUGACCGUGAACAUUCAUAACCUUUACAAAAAUCAGCUCGAACCGUUACCAGUCCUAAACAAAGUUUUUUCUCUUUGCAAGUUGGUCUUAAUGAUUGUGAUAUUGGGGAAAAUGACUGUGCUGUUUCUGGUGAAGUUGAUAUUUUAGAUGUUUCUUUUUGCCAUGAAAAAGCUAAUUCUUUGGUCCAUGUGAAUGCAGACAUUGGGGAAAGGCGUUUUUCUGAUUCUUCUGAUUUUGAACAUGAUACUUUAAAUGUUUCUUUUCAAGAUAGGUUAGUUGAUUGGGUGAAUGAGUACUCAAUUAAGCAAAAUGCUGUUGAUGGUUUGCUUGCUCUUCUUAAGGAUAAUGGUCAUCCAAAUUUACCUAGUUGUGCUUGCACUUUGUUGCAUACAUCAAGAUGUAUUCCCAUUCAGAGAAAUUCUGACAUGGAUUACGUAAACUUUUCUUUUGGUGAACAAUUGUUAAAGCACUUUCACAAGCAUCCUUGUGAAACAGUUAAGAACAAUAAUCAUCUUGAAAUCUCUUUAAAUGUUGAUGGGCUUCCUUUGUUUAGAAGAUUUCUGCAAAAAAUGUAUGGCCAGUGUUGUGUGCCAUUUUGAAUAUUAAACCUGUUGUAAUGUUUCUUAUUGUCCUAACAUGUGGUGACUCUAAGCCAAAAGACUUGGAGUUUUUGGAUGAGUUUAUAGAAAAUUUGAAGAAUAUUCUAGAAAGGGAGUCCAAGAUGGGGAAAAGGUUCUGACUGUUACAGUAAUGGACAUUGUUUGUGAUGCUCCUGCAAGAGCACUUGUUAAAGAAAGCAGAUACAAGAAGAACAUCGUCGCUUUGUUAGCCCUUUCUGUCACUUUCUGUUGAUAUGGUAAAACAAUUUCCAAUUGACUACAUGCAUCAACUGUGUCUGGGUGUUAUGCGUAAAUUGAUUAUGGUUUGGAUGAAGGGAAAUCGCGCUGCUAAAAUGUCUGUUGCCCAUGUAGAAGCUGUAAGGAAAAAAUUGGUGGAGCUUUAACCAUUUAUCACCUCAACAUAUGUGCAAAAACCUAUGAGUUUAAUGGACGUUGACAGAUGGAAAGCUACAGAAUUCAAACAGUUUCUUUUGUAUACUGGCAAAAUUUCUUUCAGCUACCAAUGAAAUCUUAUCAACAAAUUCUAGAAAUACAAGCAACGUCUCUUCACAAGGAAUUACUACAACUGGCACAAAAAGAGAAAGACAUUCUCAACGAAACAGUGGUGUCUUAGGCAAGCUUUUCUUACAAUUCAUUAUUGCAUGUCUUGUUGUUACGUUUUCAUUUACGUUCAUU
Long non-coding RNA from Xenia sp. Carnegie-2017, 1801 nucleotides. RefSeq lists it as uncharacterized. The record is from RefSeq and is a predicted model, not a curated record. Lineage: Eukaryota; Metazoa; Cnidaria; Anthozoa; Malacalcyonacea; Xeniidae. The transcript has 5 exons.